UACGGAGGAUCCAAGCGUUAUCCGGAAUCAUUGGGUUUAAAGGGUCCGUAGGCGGUUUAAUAAGUCAGUGGUGAAAUACAAACGCUCAACGUUUGAACUGCCAUUGAUACUGUUAGACUUGAAUAUUUGUGAAGUAACUAGAAUAUGUAGUGUAGCGGUGAAAUGCUUAGAUAUUACAUGGAAUACCAAUUGCGAAGGCAGGUUACUAACAAAUGAUUGACGCUGAUGGACGAAAGCGUGGGUAGCGAACAGG
This 253-nucleotide ribosomal RNA is filed under the name uncultured bacterium. RNAcentral describes it as "partial 16S ribosomal RNA". It matches the Rfam family "Bacterial small subunit ribosomal RNA", at positions 524 to 776 of the family's 1533-position model. The record is from RNAcentral.